Molecule: long non-coding RNA, 1133 nt
Organism: Xenopus laevis (African clawed frog)
Lineage: Eukaryota; Metazoa; Chordata; Amphibia; Anura; Pipidae
Exons: 3
Source: RefSeq, a predicted model, not a curated record
AGCUAGAAAUUCGUAUUUUUUUCAUUCGAAAAUUCACCUCGACCUUUGAUAAAUCUGCCCCUAAAAGUCAUAAUUCAUCUGGUUUUUUUUUACUGGCCCCAGUGCUCUUCCAUAGCUAUGUGUUGUUAGUUUCAUCAGGAAUUUACACCUCCAACUGUAUACCGAUUACCUGAAUAUAUGUAAUUUAUUAAUUAAUGUUUACAUUCAGCUCCUUAUACAUCUUGCCAGUAAAAUUACUCCUUGUAACUUUAGAUCAGAAAAUCCUCUGCACCCCUCCUGCAAGGUCCUAAUCUUACAAAAAAAACAUGCAAAAAUGUGUUUUUAUUCCCUUACAUGAAUUUGAUUGAAUUUGAAUAUGAAUUUGCUCAGAGAGAGAUAUACAAUAUUAGUUAGGAGAAGAAGUUGCAAAGAACAGGGAGUGUAGGGGAUAAAAGUGGUGCCACCAUCAGUAAUCAUUGGGCCCCAUACUAAUAAUGUAGUAUGGACCACACCCUACAGUGCCCCAAUUAUUAGACCACUAGUGUCCUAGGCCCCGUGGAUGAUCUGAACAUAGGAUUCCCCUCAUAUCUAUGGCCAUGCCUAGAUCUACUUUGGUCACCCCUGAUGUAUGACAAAAACCCCUGAACCACCGCCAAUUGUGCCUUUUACAUUUGGGCCUCUGUUUGACUGACCCCUGACUGCAGUAUCUCCUGUACUCUCCUGAUUGUGGCCCGGGGUAGAAGAAAGUUUGUUUUUUUAAAUGCACAAAAGCACUUUUCAAAAAUUUCAAUUAAGGAUGCGAGUGCAAGUUAGCAACAACUGGCAUAUCCAAGAUAGGCAGUGAGUAGUCAUGAUGACAUGUAGGCUUCGGGUUCAUUGUUGGAAAGAGCAGCGGUAGAAGCUCCACCCCCAGAUUCAGAGCAACAUUUCAUUGACUUUAAAUGGCAGCAGAAUAGGCCAAUAGCAGCGUGUUGCUGGAAGCUCAGUGACUCCUAUAAGUCAUCGGGAUAACGGCUCACGCGUCCUGUUAUUUCACUCUGCUUUGCAACAUAAUCCAGUUGACCUCAUCCCGGAGCUGCGCACUACGAAGGUUCUUCCACCGGAUCGGCCUUGUUUUUAAAUCUCCCUCCCGCAAGAGCCCCAAAGAGUAGAAG